Molecule: ribosomal RNA, 407 nt
Filed under: uncultured bacterium
Lineage: Bacteria
Description: partial 16S ribosomal RNA
Rfam family: Bacterial small subunit ribosomal RNA
Source: RNAcentral
AUUGAACGCUGGCGGCAGGCCUAACACAUGCAAGUCGAGCGGAGCGGCGGACGGGUGAGUAAUGCCUAGGAAUCUGCCUGGUAGUGGGGGAUAACGUCCGGAAACGGGCGCUAAUACCGCAUACUAUCAGCUGAGCCGAGGUCGGAUUAGCUGGUUGGGGGGGUAAAGGCCUACCAAGGCGACGAGCCGGAACUGGUCUGAGAGGAUGAUCAGCCAACGUGGAACUGGAGCACGGUCCAGACUCCUACGGGAGGCAGCAGUGGGGAAUAUUGCACAAUGGGCGCAAGCCUGAUGCAGCCAUGCCGCGUGUAUGAAGAAGGCCUUCGGGUUGUAAAGUACUUUCAGCGUGGAGGCGUUACCCGCAGAAGAAGCACCGGCUAACUCCGUGCCAGCAGCCGCGGUAAUUC